Small nucleolar RNA from Suncus etruscus (white-toothed pygmy shrew), 108 nucleotides. RefSeq annotates it as small nucleolar RNA U13. Lineage: Eukaryota; Metazoa; Chordata; Mammalia; Eulipotyphla; Soricidae. The record is from RefSeq and is a predicted model, not a curated record. The transcript has a single exon.
AUCCUUUUCCAGUUCCUAAUGAUUUCCCAGUUUAUGAUGAUUGGGUGUUUAUGUAACAUGUGCCUCCCUUAAGCAUUGUUACAACAUAGACACAUUACACUUCUAAUA